UGAUCACAUCUGUAACAGACAUCCCAGUUACAUGUCUUCUUCUGAUCACAUCUGCAUCACUUUUUCCACAUUUCCACGCCCAACUAGAUGCAUCCUGACACCAAAACCAGAGGAAGAGUCCAGAGGAAGACACCUUCAGCCUGAGGACACUGAGUAUGUUAAAGGUGGCAGAGACUGGCUGUAACUCCACAGGAACCUGAGGAAGCCUUGCAGUGUCUUUGGCUAGAAGGCCCUUGUUGGAUAGCAUCACCUUGAGCUCA
Long non-coding RNA from Pogoniulus pusillus (Red-fronted tinkerbird), 260 nucleotides. RefSeq lists it as uncharacterized. The transcript has 3 exons. NCBI's taxonomy places the organism in Eukaryota, Metazoa, Chordata, Aves, Piciformes, Lybiidae. The record is from RefSeq and is a predicted model, not a curated record.